RNAcentral lists this transfer RNA (74 nucleotides) under Lysobacterales bacterium. RNAcentral's name for it is "tRNA-Ser". Lineage: Bacteria; Pseudomonadati; Pseudomonadota; Gammaproteobacteria; Lysobacterales. The record is from RNAcentral.
GCUUGGUGUACUAAGAACGGUCACGCGAGCUUCCCAAGCUCGUGACGACGGUUCGAUUCCGUUCGCCCGCUCCA